GUGUCAGCAGCCGCGGUAAGACGGAGGGUGCUAGCGUUGUUCGGAUUGACUGGGCGUAAAGGGCGUGUAGGCGGUUGGCCCAGUCCGGUGUGAAAGCCCGAGGCUUAGCCUCGGAAGUGCAUCGGAAACUAGCCGACUGGAGCGCGAUAGAGGAGGGUGGAAUUCCUGGUGUAGCGGUGAAAUGCGUAGAUAUCAGGAGGAACACCGGCGGCGAAGGCGGCCCUCUGGAUCGUUGCUGACGCUGAGACGCGAAAGCGUGGGGAGCAAACAGGAUUAGAUACCCUGGUAGUCC
RNAcentral lists this ribosomal RNA (292 nucleotides) under uncultured bacterium. RNAcentral describes it as "partial 16S ribosomal RNA". It matches the Rfam family "Bacterial small subunit ribosomal RNA", at positions 505 to 796 of the family's 1533-position model. The record is from RNAcentral.